ACCAGAUGCGUCGGGAGACUUCUAGGCUGUCUUUACAUACGAAUGGACUCUAGCGAACAGAAGUGCCUGUGAGCAUUGUCGUUUCUCCAAAAAGGAUGACACCUUCAAUGUUCGCGACAAUCCAACAGCGACGGCGAGGAACCUUUGGCCCUCCUUCAUUGCAGAGCCUGGAGUCGGCCAUAAAAUCACAAUCGACAUGGUGAAGGCAGCAAGCGAAUGGUUCGAUCGCUUCCUGCAUGCAUGAAUGCAAAAGUUAUUGUCGCCCAUCAUUUGUUCUAUAUCGAUUGUGAUUUGUCAACAGCAUCCCUUAGUUGAAGUAUUUAUGUCCUCGUCUGUGUACCUUGGUAAUUGCCGGUCGGACAAACAUCUCUAUCUCUAUUUAUUAUAUUAGGAUACGUUUGGUUGCUGGACAAAUGAGGGCAGAAUAGAAUGGCUCCUAAGUUGGGAAUGGAAUGAUUCCUCAUAUUAUUUGGUUGGAAGGAUGAGAUGAUCCUUGUUUUUUGUUUGGUUAGAGAUAUAACUGGGGAUAGAUUGUUCAUGUCCUUUGUUUGGUUCGAGAACAGAGCACAAAAAAAUGUUUGCCGCCAUUGCCCCCAUCUCAUGAUAUGUUACAACUAAUAUUAAGUCGACAAAACACACAUAUUAUUAAUUUCACACAAUACAUAAUAAUGUGUCCUAGCAUUACACAUAAUAUCAAGUUUAAGGCUUCCACAAAAUCUGCAUGUUCAAGCAAAAUCCGCUGACGUACUUAGACCACAUUUCAUUGUUUGAUGUGGUUCAAGCAAAAGAACUGUCCAAGCCUAUCUACUAUAACUACCCUCACACUCCUGGGUACACAUAAAUCACAAUUCAUUGUUCGAUGUGGUUCAAGCAAAAGAACCCCUACCACCUACCCUCACACUCUUGGGAACUUCACUGACGAAAUUGCGAGCCCAGAUUAACUUGUGGUCGAAUGGCAACUUGUUGAAGGCUCUAGCAAUGUGAGGGUGCGCCACCAGAUAAUUGAAAUAA
RNAcentral lists this long non-coding RNA (1011 nucleotides) under Zea mays. RNAcentral's name for it is "drought-responsive long non-coding RNA". Lineage: Eukaryota; Viridiplantae; Streptophyta; Magnoliopsida; Poales; Poaceae. The record is from RNAcentral.